AUCAAUAAAUAUCAGUCCAGUGAGCGUCUCAGACACUUUCAGAUCUUCCAGACUCUUUCAUUCACACCAGCUCAAGAACAACACAAAGGAUGAGAUCAGAGGCUCUUCUCUCGCUCCUCUUCAUUCUGGCUCUGAGUGACGCAGCGGAUCGACAGAACAACGACCGAUACGCUGAGUUCAAGAAAAAACAUAUUCUCCCAUCUGGUUUCCAAACUGAUGAUGAAAAUGCUUGGGAGAAACACCUAAUGAACAAUGGUCUCUGUGGUAGGACUCCAGUACAAUCCUUCAUUAAUGACAGUGAAGAAAAUAUAAAACAAAUCUGCAAAAGCUCUGGUACUAAAACAAAAGAUAACUAUUACAAAAGUAAUAAUCUCUUCCAAGUGUUCAAUAUUAAAAGUGAAAACAGUACACCAAAGAUGUUAGAAUUGGGGUGCAAAUUCAGAUGUACUACAGCCAAAUAUCAUGUAAUUGUUGAAUGCGAUAAAGACCUACCUGUGCACUUUCAUGACCAACACAUUGAAAAGAACAAGAAGCCAUACCCUUGCUAUUAUACAGCAUGAUUUGACUUUAUCACAGUGGGGCUUGAAAUGCUGCAUUCAUUAAAAAUGUUGCUAUGUCACAUGCAUGCUUAAGUGAUAUAAUUCAAGAAAUGUUUCAGAUUUAUUUGCAUUACGCAGUAUUAUAAAAUGAGCUGAUCAAAUGUAUGGCUCGAAAGCAAUGUCGCUUUGAAUAAAAUCUCCCAAAUGCAUGAAUGCA
Long non-coding RNA from Carassius auratus (goldfish), 756 nucleotides. RefSeq lists it as uncharacterized. The transcript is spliced from 2 exons. Lineage: Eukaryota; Metazoa; Chordata; Actinopteri; Cypriniformes; Cyprinidae. The record is from RefSeq and is a predicted model, not a curated record.